UGCAUCUUCUCUUUUACUUGAUGUUAAAAAGAAGUGUCAUUAAACUCAUUUCAUGUUUUUUCAGGAUUUAUCAGUGUGGCUAUUACUUGUUCAACUAUUAAUCUUCUGAGGACUCUUUGGCUACUUCCAUUUUUUCGAUGCUUUAAUCAUUUUUAUGGCACAGUCAAAGAAACCCUUGCAAUAUCACUUAUCAUAGUGGACUGGGUUGUUUUGUCUGUAAUUGCUGCUGUAGUGUUUGGACUGCAUGGCUGGCGAAUACAGAAUAACGCAUGGAUGGGUUACGCUGGAUUUUCACUGGUUGUAAAUAUCAUCUUUGUAGCCGCCAUCUUGUUUCUUUUUCUGUCUGAGAGUAAAUGGACUGCGUGUUGCUUUGAUUUGGCAUUCUUUUUUCGAUGUGCCCCAGAUUUCAUCAUUCUACUGAUACUUUUUACCACUCGUGAAGUGAUCGACACUAUUGGUAAUGUAGGACUAAUCCUUUUGAUUGUACUCGCCAUGUGCUGUAUCAUCCUGGCAUUCACUGUCAUGCAGUGUUAUGGAAAAAUGAGUGAAAUACCAGCACUGAUCAAAAAACUAUAUCCACUUGGAGCAGCAGUCCUGUGUAUUGUGAACUCUGUCACACUGGCAGUAGAACUUAUCAGUCAAGCAGGAGAAGGUGAACGCCCAGUGAAAGAUCUGCGACUGAUAAUCAUACCGUUUGAAAUGGCCUCUGUCAUCAUAUUUUGUUUUGUAUGGUGUUGCUCAUGUUCAACCAAUCAGAGGACAGUGCUGUAGGCAGAAGAAUAUGGGCAUCACUUUUAACCAGCGCAGAGGUACUGGAACACUGGACUCUUUAGCUGUCUGAUGGAUCUCACUGACCCCUUGAUGUAACUGAAGUUGUUGAUUCUUAUGUCAGGUUUGUUGGUGUUCUAUUUGGGCACUGUCGGUUUGAUCUGUGGGUCAAAAGCUCAUUGCUGUUUGAGUUUGGUGUUACUAAAAUUUAGCCUUCCAACUUAAUUGCAUCAAAUGCCAUGCAUCAAAUGUCAUGCAUCAAAAACUACCAAACAAUUUGUGUAAACAUUAUGGAUUUUUACAUAUUUGCUCAUUUUGACUAUUUAUGACACAAAAACUCUUGGGCUCAAUAUUUUAUAUUUUUCCACUUAAUGAUAUUUAUGUCAUUUUCUGAGCCAAAACAGUCAUUUUAGUUUUUUACUGAACAAUCUUCCUUCUGUUUGUGCCUUUGAAUGAAUGUUUUUGUUCAUUUUCCUUAAAGUCUGAUAUAUGCAAAUGAUAUUUGUUCUCAUCUCUCUUGUCCACUUUUUCAUUGUUAUUUAUUUGGUUUUCCCUGAAAGGGCCCCUUUAGUAUUUAAAGGUAAGGUACCCACAUAUAAUAUAUUACUGGCUAAUCAGUAAUGUACAACUUGUAACUCACUUCUUUAUCAUAGACAAUUCCGAUUUCAGUAGAAUGGUCACUGGAUGUCAGGGCAAGUGUCCAGCAUUCAGGAUGAAUGUCUUUGUACUUUCCUUUUAUGUUGGGGUUUGAAAUAAUAUUGAAAAGAGAAAAAUCAAGGUAUUAGAUUCAGUGUAUAACUGAAUCUAAUAAAAAAAUUAAAAAAAAAUUUUUGAACAAACUUUUGUGUUUUGUCUACAUAAGACUAACUGUGUUCAUGCUACUGAAGUGCUCAUCAGAAUGAUUUGGUCUGUUGUUAAAGAUGAGCUAAAAGGCUUUGGAGAAAAUGUCUGUUAUUUCUCAGCCUAGUAAAAUAUCAGUGAUGAUAUCAAUAUCCUUAUAGAGUGUAUAAACAUUUAAGCAACAUUGAGUGUGUUUACAUGCACUCAAUAAUCCGAUCAUAAUUGGAUUUCUGCAGUUAUCUGAUUAUUCAAAUUGUCAUGUAAACACCAUACUCUGAUCUAGAAAUCUGAUGAAGAGGCUGGAUUUUAGCUCAGUUAUCAGAUUUCUCAGUGUAUGAAACUCUUACUCUGAUUUCUUUUGGAUUUCUCAGUCUGCACAUGUGCGAAAAUAGACAGCAAUUACGUGUUAAUCGGAUUACUGACAAAAUCUGAUUUUCUGCAGUUAUCAGAUUCUUAAGUGCAUGUAAAUGCACUCAUUGGUGUGAUACUGUAGUGGCAUUCAUAUGUGCUCAUCUCCUAAUUACGAUAUUUCUUACAGGUCUUAAGGCAGCGACUGACAUAUUUCUCAUUCAUGUUCUACUACUAUGCAUGUCUGAGCCUUUAGAAGCUCCUCCAUAAUUUCCAGUUUCACUGCAGUGUACUUAUGAGGUAACACAUAGGCCAAAAAGCAUUAAUGAUCCAUUAAGAUGAUCAAACAGUAAACAAAAAAAGGAGGCAAAGGUUACUGAUCACACCUAAAGUAAUGACUAAUUCAGGCCAUUACCUUUUGUGUGAAGAUAAUAAAUUAAUUAAAGAAAAUAAAAAUUAUUAGGCAAUAAUUAAGCAGUUUUGAACUAUCGGAGCUUGAUAGACCUGCCCCUGUACACAGUGACGAGGAUGUUUAAGAGGAGCAAAACAAAGAAGUAAAUGCAGGUGUGGAAAUGAUGGCAUUCUGAAAAAUGUUUUUCAUUGAAUGAUUUUAUCACCUCAAAGAAAAUGACAGCUCUCUCAUUUUUCAGUCUUUUUUCCUCAUCUUUAUCAAGGGUGCUAAUAAUUUGGAAGGACACAGUGUCUGUAUUUCCUGGUACUAAGUAGCACCUGUAUAUAAAGACAGAUUUAACAUUUCUCUCAUCUCGUUUCACAGGAUCAUAACUACAUCACCCAUAAACAAGACCGUUUGUAUUAUGUAUAUAUACAGGUACAUGGACUGCUCUUCCACAUUAAUUCAAACUACAGUCCUACAGUAAAACUAUUUUAAAAAACAAUGAAGUAUUUAGACCUUAAAUAUAUACAAGGAUUAUGUUAUGUUCUAUUUAAACUCAAUGAAUUAGUUAGAUUUAGGUUUUAGUUUUUCAAUAUAAAAAAAACUAUUUAAAAAAAUGCUGUGGCACUUUUUCAUAGUUUACUGAAGCAGAGUUUUAGUCUAUGGGCAGAGCCUUAUUUUAGCCAUGUCCCUGCAUUUUAGAGCACAAAGUUAGACUGCAUCCCUGUCCCUCAUGACCACAUGGUGAGAAGUCAGAUCCUAUUGUUUUGAAGUAAAUGUGUC
Pygocentrus nattereri (red-bellied piranha) is the source of this 3133-nucleotide long non-coding RNA. Lineage: Eukaryota; Metazoa; Chordata; Actinopteri; Characiformes; Serrasalmidae. The record is from Ensembl.